This 561-nucleotide long non-coding RNA is filed under the name Dermacentor andersoni. RNAcentral's name for it is "uncharacterized LOC126524506". Lineage: Eukaryota; Metazoa; Arthropoda; Arachnida; Ixodida; Ixodidae. The record is from RNAcentral.
AAAAAUUUCUUCUAGUGCGGCAAUGCAUGCCGGUCGGUAUAUUCUUGCGGUGUUCGUCUCCACAAUUGGGGUUCUCUACCGAAGCCAAGCAUAUUAUCAAACUCCAUUGUAUUGUCAGAGACUGGUUUCUCCUCUAAUAACUACAGUUCUCACUGCGUGCACAUAUCCAUGUGUAUUAUUGUCUCCAGAAGGAAUACCAAACAUCGUUGUACUGCCGGAACCCGACGGAACUCCUUGUAAGGUGGGCCGCUGCAGAGGAGGUGCUUGUCUCGAACCUCGGAACUAUGGAACUGCGAGAACCUUCGCACAUGCCUAUUACAUCCGUGAGGGUGGUGGUCGCCAUGUUCCUGAUGUCAGAACGCGUAGUCAUAGCAGCAGAGGAGCUCGUGGCGUUAUAAGCGCAGGCAGCGCGAGUGCGAGCCUCACGGAGAAAAUUAUAGCCGCACCGACUGAGGACCAAUUUUAUUUUGGUAGGGGUAGAACAAGCGCAACGAGCAUGAUAUCCAGCGGAGAAGGCAGGCUGCCUUCAAGACGUAUAAAAAGAUUGCGCCAAAAACGCAG